RNAcentral lists this small RNA (26 nucleotides) under Bombyx mori (domestic silkworm). Its description in RNAcentral is "ovarian small RNA-26731". The record is from RNAcentral. Lineage: Eukaryota; Metazoa; Arthropoda; Insecta; Lepidoptera; Bombycidae.
UCCACUGUAACUUUCCGGGAACAGGC